CAAGAGUGAAAAAGUGUGUGUCGGGGUCGACGUCGGAGAGGCCAUAAAAAGCCUCAGACCACCAUUCAUACGUUUUUCGUUCAUGCACUACAUUGUAGCAAACAUUUAUGCUUUGGGUGUUUCCUCUGUGUACUUUUAAGGGUUUCAAUCGGUUUUGAUCUUUGGGUUUCUAUUCUUUGAACUUUGAAUGCAGGGCAUUUUUCUCCCAUUUUUAUUGUCUAAUUACUCAUACUUAACAUUACAGUAGAGGAAGAAUGGGAAACGAACAGGAGGACAAAGAAAUGGAAAUGGGUUCAAUUGUAGUUGAAAAGGUCGGCGGCAGAUCAUCAGUGGUACACUGCUUCUCAAGAUAUCCCGUCAAGUUCAUUAUACCCAAAAAGGUGGGUUCUUCCAGAACUGAUGUUGUAUGGGUUUAUGCCCUCAAUUAUGGAGGUGGAAUUGUAUCGGGUGAUCAAAUUUUAUGCAAAUUUUCAGUGGGAGAUUGUUGUACAAUGGUGUUAACCACGCAAGGUUCCACUAAGGUCUACAAAUCAGUGGGAUCUAAGUGCUCUAAACAACUAUUGGAGGCAAGGGUUGGAAGCAAUGCACUUUUAGCCAUCAUUCCAGAUCCUGUAACAUGUUUCUCCACUGCAAGAUACUACCAGAAGCAAGUAUUUAAUGUGUCUUCAAACUCAAAUCUGGUCAUUGUUGAUUGGAUAACCAGUGGGCGACAUGAAAGUGGAGAAAAAUGGGAUUUUGAUCUUUAUAGAAGCAUCAAUAAUAUAUUCUUGGAGGAUGGUGAACCAUUGUUUCUCGAUACGAUGUCAUUAGAGAAAGAAAAAAUUGGCUGCAUACAUGAACUUGUGCAGGACUACCAAGUGAUUGCAAUGAUUCUACUACUGGGGCCAAAGUUGCAGUUUGUGCAGAAUCUGGUGCAAGAUAAGGUAAAAGGAAUUAUGUCUGAGCAAUUGCAGCAUCCUUCAGGUGCCUUGAGUCACAAAAGAAAUGAGGCUGGUUAUUUCAUUUCCAAGCCAAGCUUGAUGGCUUCUUGCAGUGUCUUUGGGACUAAGGGUAUGUGUAGAACCAAUUUGGGCAUAUUUGGCUUGAAAGCUUUUACAAAUCGAUAGAAACUAGGGGAAGAAAAACAAGAAAUGCUAACUUCAUGAUCUCGGCCCAUUCCAAUCUUUACAAACGUUGAUGUCUUGCCCAAAAGCUUGAGCCCAAGAGAGGAUGGUGAAGUUUUCCACAACAUUUUCUAAGAAAAUUUUGUCAUCCACAAAUUACAAAAGAUAGAUUGUAGUCUUAGUGCCUAGAAGGCCACUUUAGGACUUUCACAACAAAAGUAAACGAAAAUGGAGAUUUCUUACUGCCUUUUUCCCCACAAAACCAUGCUCUUUUCUCAUCAUUAAUAAUCACAGUUCUUGCCGUGCAGCUUCUUCACUUAGAUUCAGGUCUUUUCCCCCCUCGAAAACCCUUAUCAUAAAAUCCCCAACUUAUACUUCGUAAGCGUUCUCAAAGUCCUUUAUAUGUAUUUUUAUAUAUAUUUAAAUAAGUAGAUUAGCCUGUUUUUAAGUGCAUCCAAAAUUUGUUUGGCUAUAAUUAGAGUACUGCGGAUUUCAGUGUUAUGAAUUAAAUUUUCUCUAUUAUCUAAUUCAGGCCAAACAAACGACAUGUCUUGUGAUUUAUUUUAUUUUAUUUUUGAAGACUAGCAACAUGGCUGACAGGUUACUACUUGGGGUAUGUUUGUAUUAAAAGUUCCACAUCAGUUAAUGAUAUGAUCUUUAGAGAAUUUUUAAAGAUGGGGCAUCUGUCACCUCUUAAGCUAGCUUUUGGGAUAAGUUAGGUUCAGCCAAUUCUGAUAGUUUGUUUGGAGGGUAAUAGAUGAUAUCUAUUAAUAACCCUGAAAAUGUCUAGGUGUCGAACCAUCAGGUCCUUGGCCUUGAUUUUCCAAAGAGCUUCUCUUCUGUAACUGUGCACCAGUCUCAAUCCUCCACUAGUUAACAUCUAUGUGUAUUUAAUAUGUUACCUAUUAAUGCAGAAGUUUUCAUUUACACUCUCUUA
Arachis duranensis is the source of this 2040-nucleotide RNA transcript. It is a transcript of the gene named urease accessory protein D, with no coding region annotated. The transcript has 9 exons. The record is from RefSeq and is a predicted model, not a curated record. NCBI's taxonomy places the organism in Eukaryota, Viridiplantae, Streptophyta, Magnoliopsida, Fabales, Fabaceae.